RNAcentral lists this ribosomal RNA (448 nucleotides) under uncultured bacterium. Its description in RNAcentral is "partial 16S ribosomal RNA". It matches the Rfam family "Bacterial small subunit ribosomal RNA", at positions 29 to 523 of the family's 1533-position model. The record is from RNAcentral.
AACGAACGCUGGCGGCAGGCUUAACACAUGCAAGUCGAGCGCACCGCAAGGGGAGCGGCAGACGGGUGAGUAACGCGUGGGAAUCUACCCUGAUCUGCGGAAUAGCUCCGGGUAACUGGAAUUAAUACCGCAUAUGACCUGAGGGGCAAAGGUUGAACCGGAUUGGGAUGUGCUCGCGUUGGAUUAGCUUGUUGUGGGGGUAAAGGCCUACCAAGGCGACGAUCCAUAGCUGGUCUAAGAGGUUUAUCAGCCAGAUUGGGACUGAGACACGGCCCAAAGUCCUACGUGAGGCAGCAGUGGGGAAUAUUGGACAAUGGGCGCAAGCCUGAUCCAGCCAUGCCGCGUGAGUGAUGAAGGCCCUAGGGUUGUAAAUCUCUUUCACCGGGGACGAUAAUGACGGUACCCGGAGAAGAAGCCCCGGCUAACUUCGUGCCAGCCGCCGCGGUAA